Molecule: ribosomal RNA, 158 nt
Organism: Gossypium arboreum
Lineage: Eukaryota; Viridiplantae; Streptophyta; Magnoliopsida; Malvales; Malvaceae
Rfam family: 5.8S ribosomal RNA
About the family: 5.8S ribosomal RNA (5.8S rRNA) is a component of the large subunit of the eukaryotic ribosome.
Source: Rfam
AAAUCUCGGCAACGAAUAUCUCGACUCUCGCAUCGAUGAAGAACGUAGCGAAAUGCAAUACUUGGUGUGAAUUGCAGAAUCCUGUGAACCAUUGAGUCUUUGAAUGCAAGUAAUGCCCCAAAGCCAUUAGAUCUGAGGGCACGUCUGCUUGGCUGUCA